AGGAAUGUCACAGAGGUCUGGAAAAACUAUUGCUAACUGGGAUGCACUGGCAUCUGGAACACCUGCUGUGAAGGAGGGCUGGCCUGCAUGGUUUCAAGGAUUAGAUGAGAUUGAGCGAUACAACAUACAUGGAGAAACAUGUGUACUUUACAUAAAGCUCCUCCAUCUGAUGGCACAGACUAGAAAAGAGAAAAACUACCACACCAUCGUCAUCCUGGUAAUCAAGCCAAGAUCAGUUCACGUGCUGAGGGUUGCAACUCCAACACCACUGACAAGAUUUCACUGGGAUCAGCUGACUGGAGAAAAUGAUGAAGGAAUCUACAAUGUCGUUGCAAGGACAAGCAAUCUUAUAAUACAAGCACCUCAACGGAAAAUCACUGGUAACUGAAGCUGGUAGAGCGCUGUGACAUCUCUUGUAAACAAGCUGCGUUAUAGACAAGGAUCAAUCAACCAAGUUCAGAUGUCUUGAACACGAUAGGGCCCCUUCCAUUCUGACUGGAAAAGACAUCUGUCAUCUAUGGUUUCUGCAUGAUCAAGGGUAUCCACAGUUUCUUUGCUGGGAUAAUGGAAAGCAGUGGAAUUCCUGUCCUUGCCAAGGACCUAAAUAUUUGAUGACAUCAUUCCGUCAUAUAUUGCAAUGUCCACCGGUAAUUAUAUACAGACUUAAGUUUUGCUUUGAAGCAAUGUCACAGUCUACCAUGCCAGGAUUUUUUAUUGUACUCUUGUUAUGCCGUAAAUACAAUAGGGCGAGUACAGUGUACAUUGAGUCUGCACUUCAUACACUGUGUACAAUCGCACUUGUUUGUCAUUCCUGCCGUAUCAUGUAGCCUUGCGCAAAUAGUUCAAUCAAAAUUGUUUUAAAAAGGCGUGAUAUUGCUCAAAUUUGUAAAUUCUUGAUUGAAAUCUGCCAAUUCAAGCAAUGAGAUAGCGGUACUCUACCUAUCUGUACGAUAAAAAAACCGACGGUUAUCGCGGCUCUUGGCUCUAAGAUUAGGGUGUCCCAAUAUCCACACCUGGUAUUCUUUAGUUACUGUGUAGUGACCUUUUUGUUUUCACUUUUAAAAACCUAUGCGAUUUGCCGCACUGAAGGUCCCUCCAGAGAUUGUUGGACUGGGUCCAUUGAAUGUGACAAAAAUAUACAACACCUAUUUACAAAUGAAGUGAGGGGACAGCCUUUUGGUGUAACUCCAUAUAACUGUCUGGUGAUUUCGCUCUGGGCUUGUGACAUUCUGAUCGGUCUGAAAUAAUCAUUGUCGCCCAUCCCUCAAUUUGAGGCCUGUGUCCCGAUGGUGGCGUUGAAUGGCAAAAUCAAAGGGGCAUGACGGCGGUUAAACCUAUUGCGAAUGGGCAGCAUCACAACCAGUUCUGAGAUCUGGGGGUGGUGUAGGAUAUCUGGUUACCACGCACACAUCUCCUGAAAUCUGCGGUGGGUUGGUACCCCACGCUACGUAAGGGGAGGUUUCUGGGUAAGACUUGGUCCAUGUGAAUAGGUAGUACCUGAAAGAUGAGAAGUUGCGAAUGGACGCCUUAGAAUAUGUCCUUCGACCAGCUAGUGCUAACCCGGUCACUGUCUCCAGGUCACCAUACCUUGGUCAAUGAGCGGGCGAAGAACCCAAUGGCUCCGUCAGGAGUACAUCGUCAACUUCAGCCCGUAGUCAAACCGGUGCACGCACAAAUAUCUUGGCUGAGAGUGGGGGACGUACUUGCUUCUCAUCGGGGUAAUACAGUACCACUGUAUACAAUGACCCCAUUUUAGUUGGAUUUUACUGAGGAGUGGACGAUAAUGAGAAUUUCAGGCCAGUCCGAUUGUCACCAGUUCAGAGGGCGAUUACCUGAUGGUUAUGUGGCAUUUCAUCAAACGGUUGACUCUUUCACAUCCUUUGUAAAUUAGUGUUGCUUGUUACAUGUUGCAUUCAAUGGCUCAUUUGAGGAUAGUUUCGGUGAUUCUACUUUACCAUGAGCAGGCCCAUUUUGACAUAUAACUGUGUAGUUUGUGCUCUGUAGUAUGUGAUUUAAAAAGUUGUAAAUCUGGUUAUUGGAGUAAAGAUUGUACAAUGGAAUAUAUCCACGGGAUACACUAAUCUGAGAGCCAAGAGCCAAGACUCCCUUAAAGAGCCAAUUAAGUGCCGCCAGGAGAGCCACAAGCCAAAGAAAAGGAAUAGGCUUGAUUGAAUAUAAUUAUUAUCUUUGGGAAUCCUAAGCCUACAGGUACCCUACUUGAUAAAAAAUGGAUUUAUUUUGUGACCGUUUAUGACGUCGUAAGACAUCGCCAGCUGGAUAGCGGUAUUGUUAACAGCCUACCAUGCCAAGAUUUUUUAUCAUACUGUUGUUACGCCGUCUACAAUACGGCGGGUACAGUGUACAUUGAGUCUGCACUUCACCCCCUGCUUACUCACACGUGUUUGUCGUUCCUUCCAUAUCAUGUAGCCUUGUGCAAAUAGUGCAAUCAAAAUUGUUUUAAAAAGGUAUAUUGCUCAAAUUUGUGAAUUCUUAAUUGAAAUUUGCUAAUUCAAGCAAUGAGAUAGCGUACUAGUGUACCGGUACUCUGCAUAUCUGUACUGUAAAAAAACGGUGCUCGGGGCUCUUGGCUCUCAGAUUGGGGUGUCCCAAUGACCACACCUGGUAUUCUAUAAGUUACUGUAGCUUAGCUCAGUGGAGUGACCUUUUUGUUUUCACUUUUAAAAACCUAUGCGAUUUGCCGCACUGAAGGUCCCUCCAGAGAUUGUUGGACUGGGUCCAUUGAAUGUGACAAAAAUAUACAACACCUAUUUACAAAUGAAGUGAGGGGUCAGCCUUUUGGUGUAACUCCAUAUAACUGUCUGGUGAUUUCGCUCUGGGCUUGUGACAUUCUGAUCGGUCUGAAAUAAUCAUUAACGCCCAUCCCUCAAUUUGAGGCCUGUGCCCCGAUGGUGGAGUUGAAUGGCGAAAUCAAAGGGGCAUGACGGCGGUUAAACCUAUUGCGAAUGGGCAGCAUCACAACCAGUUCUGAGAUCUGGGGGUGGUUCAGAAUAUCUGGUUACCACGCACACAACUCCUGAAAUCUGCGGUGGGUUGGUACCCCACGCUACGUAAGGGGAGGUUUCUGGGUAAGACUUGGUCCACGUGAAUAGGUAGUACCUGAAAGAUGAGAAGUUGCGAAUGGACGCCUUAGAAUAUGUCCUUCGACCAGCUAGUGCUAACCCGGUCACUGUCUCCAGGUCACCAUACCUUGGUCAAUGAGCGGGCGAAGAACCCAAUGGCUCCGUCAGGAGUACAUCGUCAACUUCAGCCCGUAGUCAAACCGGUGCACGCACAAAUGUCUUAGCUGAGAGUGGGGGACGUACUUGCUUCUCAUCGGGGUAAUACAGUACCACUGUAUACAAUGACCCCAUUUUAGUUGGAUUUUACUGAGGAGUGGACGAUAAUGGGAAUUUCAGGCCAGUCCGAUUGUCACCAGUUCAGAGGGCGAUUACCUGAUAGUUAUGUGGCAUUUCAUCAAACGGUUGACUCUUUCACAUCCUUUGUAAAUUAGUGUUGCUUGUUACAUGUCGCAUUCAAUGGCUCAUUUGAGGAUAGUUUCGGUGAUUCUACUUUACCAUGAGCAGGCCCAUUUAAAAAACCUAAACUGUGUAGUUUGUGCUCUGUAGUAUGUGAUCUAAAAAGUUGUAAAUCUGGUUAUUAGAGUAAAGAUUGUACAAUGGAAUAUCCGCGGGAUGCCCUAAUCUGAGAGCCAAGAGCCAAGACGCUGUUAAAGAGCCAAUCAAGUGCUGCCAGGAAAGCCACGAGCCAAAGAAAAAUUUAGGCUUAUGAAACUUUGGGAAUCCUAAGCCUACAGGUACCCUACUUGAUAAAAAAUAAAUUUAUUAUGUAAUCAUUUAUGACAUUGUAAGAAAUCGCCGCCUUGAUAGCUAUUAUGUGCAGACUUAAGUUUUGCUUUGAAGCAAUAUCACUGCUACACUUGUGAAGCAGUGGCAGUGUUCAGGUCUUGCCUGCCUCGAUGACAUAUCUGCAUACCAGUAGUUAUGAGCAGACUUGGCUCUUUCUUUGGAGCAGUACAGUUGCAAGAUAAAUAAAUCCUGUUUGUAAUUUUAUAAAUUAGUUGCUCAUUAAGGGCUUACGAAGGUUUUGAUGCCUUGCUGGCAUAUCUGCAUACCAGUAAAUAUGUGCAGAUUCAUUUCUUGCUUUGAAGCUAUAUUGUUGCUA
Long non-coding RNA from Lineus longissimus, 4182 nucleotides. RefSeq lists it as uncharacterized. Lineage: Eukaryota; Metazoa; Nemertea; Pilidiophora; Heteronemertea; Lineidae. The record is from RefSeq and is a predicted model, not a curated record. The transcript is spliced from 4 exons.